RNAcentral lists this non-coding RNA (87 nucleotides) under Pseudomonas brassicacearum. Lineage: Bacteria; Pseudomonadati; Pseudomonadota; Gammaproteobacteria; Pseudomonadales; Pseudomonadaceae. The record is from RNAcentral.
UUUGAUGGCGGCUGUGCGCAGGGCGCCCUCGGGCGCGCCGGCUUGCUAAGUCCCCGGUCUACUAACCUGCGUACAGCUGCCACCCCU